RNAcentral lists this non-coding RNA (441 nucleotides) under Virgibacillus pantothenticus. RNAcentral describes it as "T-box sequence". It matches the Rfam family "T-box leader". From Rfam's summary of the family: Uncharged tRNA acts as the effector for transcription antitermination of genes in the T-box leader family. T-boxes are found upstream of many aminoacyl-tRNA synthetase genes and some amino acid biosynthetic genes usually in Gram-positive bacteria. The anticodon of a specific tRNA base pairs to a specifier sequence within the T-box motif, and the NCCA acceptor tail of the tRNA base pairs to a conserved bulge in the T-box antiterminator hairpin. Lineage: Bacteria; Bacillati; Bacillota; Bacilli; Caryophanales; Bacillaceae. The record is from RNAcentral.
AGAAAAGCGAUGAUGGGGAGAGUAGGUCAAUGCUAUUCUUUUACAGAAAGCUUUGGUAGCUGAAAAGAAGCAAGGAAUGAUUGAUUGAAUAUGGUCUCUGAGCUGCGUAUCUGAACUUUUAGAGUAAGGGUAUGACGAGAUUUGGCACUCGUUACAAAUGUCAUGGUAUAAGAACAUGCCGUUUUAUCCCGAAUAGAAGGUCCGUAAGACUCUCACUUCAAUAGUUGAUUGUGCAAAAAAGGUAAGUGAGAGAUAACAGCGCCUAAAUUUCCGAUUUAUUUAGAGACCUUUAGGUCAUGCCAUUACGGUACUAACAAGCCGUGGGGUGUAAAGGCACGGCUACUGAUUGGGGAUCACUUUAUUGUUCCGUACCAAUGGAGACUAAUCAUGUGAAUGAUUAGUGAAUAAAGGUGGUAACACGGGGAUAACCUCGUCCUUUGA